AGAGUUUGAUCCUGGCUCAGAUUGAACGCUGGCGGCAUGCCUUACACAUGCAAGUCGAACGGCAGCACGGGAGCUUGCUCCUGGUGGCGAGUGGCGAACGGGUGAGUAAUAUAUCGGAACGUGCCCUAGAGUGGGGGAUAACUAGUCGAAAGAUUAGCUAAUACCGCAUACGAUCUACGGAUGAAAGUGGGGGAUCGCAAGACCUCAUGCUCAUGGAGCGGCCGAUAUCUGAUUAGCUAGUUGGUGGGGUAAAAGCUCACCAAGGCGACGAUCAGUAGCUGGUCUGAGAGGACGACCAGCCACACUGGAACUGAGACACGGUCCAGACUCCUACGGGAGGCAGCAGUGGGGAAUUUUGGACAAUGGGCGCAAGCCUGAUCCAGCAAUGCCGCGUGAGUGAAGAAGGCCUUCGGGUUGUAAAGCUCUUUUGUCAGGGAAGAAACGGUCUUGGUUAAUACCUGGGGCUAAUGACGGUACCUGAAGAAUAAGCACCGGCUAACUACGUGCCAGCAGCCGCGGUAAUACGUAGGGUGCAAGCGUUAAUCGGAAUUACUGGGCGUAAAGCGUGCGCAGGCGGUUAUACAAGACAGAUGUGAAAUCCCCGGGCUCAACCUGGGAAUUGCAUUUGUGACUGUAUGGCUAGAGUGUGUCAGAGGGGGGUAGAAUUCCACGUGUAGCAGUGAAAUGCGUAGAUAUGUGGAGGAAUACCGAUGGCGAAGGCAGCCCCCUGGGAUAACACUGACGCUCAUGCACGAAAGCGUGGGGAGCAAACAGGAUUAGAUACCCUGGUAGUCCACGCCCUAAACGAUGUCUACUAGUUGUCGGGUCUUAAUUGACUUGGUAACGCAGCUAACGCGUGAAGUAGACCGCCUGGGGAGUACGGUCGCAAGAUUAAAACUCAAAGGAAUUGACGGGGACCCGCACAAGCGGUGGAUGAUGUGGAUUAAUUCGAUGCAACGCGAAAAACCUUACCUACCCUUGACAUGUACGGAAUCCUGAAGAGAUUUAGGAGUGCUCGAAAGAGAACCGUAACACAGGUGCUGCAUGGCUGUCGUCAGCUCGUGUCGUGAGAUGUUGGGUUAAGUCCCGCAACGAGCGCAACCCUUGUCAUUAGUUGCUACGAAAGGGCACUCUAAUGAGACUGCCGGUGACAAACCGGAGGAAGGUGGGGAUGACGUCAAGUCCUCAUGGCCCUUAUGGGUAGGGCUUCACACGUCAUACAAUGGUACAUACAGAGGGCCGCCAACCCGCGAGGGGGAGCUAAUCCCAGAAAGUGUAUCGUAGUCCGGAUUGGAGUCUGCAACUCGACUCCAUGAAGUUGGAAUCGCUAGUAAUCGCGGAUCAGCAUGUCGCGGUGAAUACGUUCCCGGGUCUUGUACACACCGCCCGUCACACCAUGGGAGCGGGUUCUGCCAGAAGUAGUUAGCCUAACCGCAAGGAGGGCGAUUACCACGGCAGGGUUCGUGACUGGGGUGAAGUCGUAACAAGGUAGCCGUAUCGGAAGGUGCGGCUGGAUCACCUCC
RNAcentral lists this ribosomal RNA (1523 nucleotides) under Herbaspirillum hiltneri. RNAcentral describes it as "bacterial SSU rRNA". It matches the Rfam family "Bacterial small subunit ribosomal RNA". The record is from RNAcentral. Lineage: Bacteria; Pseudomonadati; Pseudomonadota; Betaproteobacteria; Burkholderiales; Oxalobacteraceae.